UACGUAGGGUGCGAGCGUUGUCCGGAAUUAUUGGGCGUAAAGGGCUCGUAGGCGGUUUGUCGCGUCGGGAGUGAAAUCAUCUGGCUUAACUGGGUGCUUGCUUUCGAUACGGGCAGACUAGAGGUAUGCAGGGGAGAGCGGAAUUCCUGGUGUAGCGGUGAAAUGCGCAGAUAUCAGGAGGAACACCGGUGGCGAAGGCGGUUCUCUGGGCAUGAUCUGACGCUGAGGAGCGAAAGUGUGGGGAGCGAACAGG
Molecule: ribosomal RNA, 253 nt
Filed under: uncultured bacterium
Lineage: Bacteria
Description: partial 16S ribosomal RNA
Rfam family: Bacterial small subunit ribosomal RNA
Source: RNAcentral